ACAGAGGGUGCAAGCGUUAAUCGGAAUUACUGGGCGUAAAGCGUGCGUAGGUGGUUUGUUAAGUCAGGCGUGAAAUCCCUGGGCUCAACCUGGGAACUGCGCUUGAUACUGGCAGACUAGAGUGUGGUAGAGGGUAGUGGAAUUCCGCAUGUAGCAGUGAAAUGCGUAGAUAUGCGGAGGAACACCAGUGGCGAAGGCGGCUACCUGGACCAACACUGACACUGAGGCACGAAAGCGUGGGGAGCAAACAGGAUUAGAUACCCUGGUAGUCCACGCCCUAAACGAUGGGUACUAGACGUCGGGAAGUUUAUCUUCUUGGUGUCGCAGCUAACGCAAUAAGUACCCCGCCUGGGGAGUACGGUCGCAAGAUUA
RNAcentral lists this ribosomal RNA (372 nucleotides) under uncultured bacterium. RNAcentral's name for it is "bacterial SSU rRNA". It matches the Rfam family "Bacterial small subunit ribosomal RNA", at positions 525 to 896 of the family's 1533-position model. The record is from RNAcentral.